Molecule: long non-coding RNA, 1542 nt
Filed under: Triticum aestivum (bread wheat)
Lineage: Eukaryota; Viridiplantae; Streptophyta; Magnoliopsida; Poales; Poaceae
Description: long non-coding RNA (TAES_LNC001862)
Source: RNAcentral
CCCCCUCGCCGACCGACCGACCUAUCUUCCUCUCGCCCCUGCCCCACAGAAAUUCCUUCCUUCCUUGGCUCCGGCGCCUGCCAUACCCAUCACCUCCUUCCUCUAUGCCCAAGGAAAGUAUGGCGAGUCCCACCUUUAAACCCUUUCUGAUUGAUUGAUCCCGUAUAAAAUACUUGCCUUCCUCCGUGCGCGUUGCCGCCAUGGAAAGGGCCGACAUCACACGCAGAGCCGGCCUUGUCUGAGACAGAGACGGGGAGACACCGAGAGAGACGGGUUUGGAUCGGGCGACGGAUGGGAGAGGGAGGCCACGUCCUGCGAGGAAGACAUUAAUGGCGAGAGAGACCCAGGGCAGGUGUUAGUUUGGAGCAAGUGCUGCCGUGUCUGUUUGUCUCUCGGCUUCCACGAGUUCUCGGUGUGGUGAGAAGACGAGCAGGAGGAUAUGCUUGCAAGGGAGGCCGCGUCUGGAAGAUAAGUUUCCGGUCGGGGUAAGUAUUUAUAUACGAUAUGAUUAUCUUUGUUCUGUUCUCCUCGUUGAUUUCCCAUUGGAUUCCAGUUGAGUUCCUCUCUUGUUCUUGAGUUCUUGGGCGGUGAGUCGAAUUUCUUCUCUGAUAUUACUACUACUAUUCCGUAUUUCCUACUUGAAGUGGGAGUUACUCUGUUCUUUCCUGGGUCAGUUUCGUGUGAAAAUUCAAGAGGGGUUUACAUAGCAUAGGAUUACUAUGUAUGAUCAAGAAUCGCAGCACGAUCGAGGAUGAAGAGUUCCACUUGAAAACGAUAAAAGACUCUGAAUUAAUACUUGUGAUCAUCCCUUUGCUUUGCUUAUUUUUGGCUUCUCUGAAGAAAUUCAAGGACGCCGGUGCGUUUAUUGCACAAUGCACUUUUCUCUCGCUAGUUUUUUUUUCUCACUUUCACUAGGUAAUUGAGUAUAGUAUAAAAUUUAAUGAGCACCGUGAUUGGCAUCGUAAAUUCGUAAUCACACACCGUGAUGAUAUUUCUGAUUUGCAAUAUUCGCAUGUAAAUUGCCAUAUCUCCGAGACCAGGAUCCAUCGUUAUCUAGAAGAACGGUGCAGUAAUCGUACUCGAAUUAAUGGCAUGUCCAAAGCCUACACAAUUUCGUCUGACUCAGAAACGGUAAUUAAUAGGCACACACACACGGGCGUUGAAAAUGUGGCGAGGAAAUCAAUUUUCUCCAGAAUUAGGCAAAAGCAAGAAACUGACGCGUACAGGCCGAAGAUGAGAUAUCUGUGCUGCACAUUCUCGUGACUGGACCAGAAAUUAGGCAGUGGAGGGAGAAGAAGCUGACAUGCCUAGCCAGACUAGAAACUAGAGACCUCUCACAUGACAUGGAAAGCACUCACUGCCAGGUUUGAUCUGCGGAUUGUCAAAUCACAUGCAGAAAUCUAGUCGGGUUCUAUCUUCUUGGGAUCCAUUGCUUUUGGUCUCUUCUUCUGAUCGAAUGCUUUUUGGUUUCUUCUUCUUCUUCUACCUUCGCACGUCCGGGUUGAGAUUGGAGGGUAACGCUUGGAGCUUUUCCCAUGGCAG